RNAcentral lists this ribosomal RNA (256 nucleotides) under uncultured bacterium. RNAcentral's name for it is "partial small subunit ribosomal RNA". It matches the Rfam family "Bacterial small subunit ribosomal RNA", at positions 26 to 286 of the family's 1533-position model. The record is from RNAcentral.
AGGACGAACGCUGGCGGCGUGCUUAACACAUGCAAGUCGAGCGGAAAGGCCCUUCGGGGUACUCGAGCGGCGAACGGGUGAGUAACACGUGAGUAACCUGCCCUAGGCUUUGGGAUAACCCUCGGAAACGGGGGCUAAUACCGGAUAUCCACUUCCUGCCGCAUGGUGGGUGGUGGAAAGUUUUUCGGUCUGGGAUGGGCUCGCGGCCUAUCAGCUUGUUGGUGGGGUGAUGGCCUACCAAGGCGACGACGGGUAG